Molecule: ribosomal RNA, 492 nt
Filed under: uncultured bacterium
Lineage: Bacteria
Description: partial 16S ribosomal RNA
Rfam family: Bacterial small subunit ribosomal RNA
Source: RNAcentral
AGUGAACGCUGGCGGUAUGCCUAACACAUGCAAGUCGAACGGCAGGACAGUAAGAGCUUGCUCUUAGGGGUGGCGAGUGGCGGAUGGGUGAGGAAUGCAUCGGAAUCCACUUUGGCGUGGGGGAUGACGUAGGGGACCGUAAGCGGAUAGCGCAUACGUCCUACGGGUGGAAGGAGGGGAUGUUUGGGCGUUGCGCGAGUGCAUGAGCCGAUGUCGGAUUAGCGAGGUGGUGGGGUAAAGGCCCAGCAAGGCGUCGAUGCGUAGCUGGUCUGAGAGGAUGAGCCGCCACACUGGAACUGAGACACGGUCCAGACCCCUACGGGAGGCCGCAGUGCGGAAUAUUGGACAAUGGGCGAAAGCCUGACCCAGCCAUACCGCGUGGGUCAAGAAGGCCUUCGGGUUGUAAAGCCCUUUUGUUGGGUAAGAACAGCAGCAGGUUAACACCCCGCUGUUCUGACGGUACCCAAAGAAUAAGCACCGGCUAACUACGUG